This 496-nucleotide ribosomal RNA is filed under the name uncultured bacterium. Its description in RNAcentral is "partial 16S ribosomal RNA". It matches the Rfam family "Bacterial small subunit ribosomal RNA", at positions 29 to 507 of the family's 1533-position model. The record is from RNAcentral.
AUGAACGCUGGCGGCGUGCCUCAUACCUGCAAGUCGCGCGAACGGACGAGAAGCUUGCUUCUCUGAUGUUAGCGGCGGACGGGUGAGUAACACGUGGAUAACCUACCUAUAAGACUGGGAUAACUUCGGGAAACCGGAGCUAAUACCGGAUAAUAUUUUGAACCGCAUGGUUCAAAAGUGAAAGACGGUCUUGCUGUCACUUAUAGAUGGAUCCGCGCUGCAUUAGCUAGUUGGUAAGGUAACGGCUUACCAAGGCAACGAUGCAUAGCCGACCUGAGAGGGUGAUCGGCCACACUGGAACUGAGACACGGUCCAGACUCCUACGGGAGGCAGCAGUAGGGAAUCUUCCGCAAUGGGCGAAAGCCUGACGGAGCAACGCCGCGUGAGUGAUGAAGGUCUUCGGAUCGUAAAACUCUAUUAUUAGGGAAGAACAUAUGUGUAAGUAACUGUGCACAUCUUGACGGUACCUAAUCAGAAAGCCACGGCUAACUACGUG